Ictidomys tridecemlineatus (thirteen-lined ground squirrel) is the source of this 69-nucleotide non-coding RNA. Lineage: Eukaryota; Metazoa; Chordata; Mammalia; Rodentia; Sciuridae. The record is from Rfam.
GGGGUUGUGGCUCAGUGGUAGAGCGCUCACCUAGCAUGUGUGAGGCCCUUGGUUCAAUCCUCAGCACCA